GACGAACGCUGGCGGCGUGCUUAACACAUGCAAGUCGAACGGAAAGGCCCUGCUUUUGUGGGGUGCUCGAGUGGCGAACGGGUGAGUAACACGUGAGUAACCUGCCCUUGACUUUGGGAUAACUUCAGGAAACUGGGGCUAAUACCGGAUAGGAGCUCCUGCUGCAUGGUGGGGGUUGGAAAGUUUCGGCGGUUGGGGAUGGACUCGCGGCUUAUCAGCUUGUUGGUGGGGUAGUGGCUUACCAAGGCUUUGACGGGUAGCCGGCCUGAGAGGGUGACCGGCCACAUUGGUACUGAGAUACGGCGCAGACUCCUACGGGAGGCAGCAGUGGGGAGUAUUGCACAAUGGGCGGAAGCCUGAUGCAGCAACGCCGCGUGCGGGAUGACGGCCUUCGGGUUGUAAACCGCUUUCGCCUGUGACGAAGCGUGAGUGACGGUAAUGGGUAAAGAAGCACCGGCUAACUACGUG
This 468-nucleotide ribosomal RNA is filed under the name uncultured bacterium. Its description in RNAcentral is "partial 16S ribosomal RNA". It matches the Rfam family "Bacterial small subunit ribosomal RNA", at positions 28 to 507 of the family's 1533-position model. The record is from RNAcentral.